Molecule: ribosomal RNA, 418 nt
Filed under: Arthrobacter globiformis
Lineage: Bacteria; Bacillati; Actinomycetota; Actinomycetes; Micrococcales; Micrococcaceae
Description: bacterial SSU rRNA
Rfam family: Bacterial small subunit ribosomal RNA
Source: RNAcentral
GGCGGCGUGCUUAACACAUGCAAGUCGAACGAUGAUGCCCACUUGUGGGUGGAUUAGUGGCGAACGGGUGAGUAACACGUGAGUAACCUGCCCUUGACUCUGGGAUAAGCCUGGGAAACUGGGUCUAAUACCGGAUAUGACCUUCCAUCGCAUGGUGGUUGGUGGAAAGCUUUUGUGGUUUUGGAUGGACUCGCGGCCUAUCAGCUUGUUGGUGAGGUAAUGGCUUACCAAGGCGACGACGGGUAGCCGGCCUGAGAGGGUGACCGGCCACACUGGGACUGAGACACGGCCCAGACUCCUACGGGAGGCAGCAGUGGGGAAUAUUGCACAAUGGGCGCAAGCCUGAUGCAGCGACGCCGCGUGAGGGAUGACGGCCUUCGGGUUGUAAACCUCUUUCAGUAGGGAAGAAGCGAAAGUG